GUCUUUGUAGCUUAAAACCAAAGCCCUGGUCUUGUAAACCAAAGAUGGGAAUCAAUCUUCCCCCAAGGCA
This 70-nucleotide transfer RNA is filed under the name Sceloporus grammicus (Graphic spiny lizard). RNAcentral's name for it is "tRNA-Thr". It matches the Rfam family "tRNA". Rfam says of the family: Transfer RNA (tRNA) molecules are approximately 80 nucleotides in length. Their secondary structure includes four short double-helical elements and three loops (D, anti-codon, and T loops). The record is from RNAcentral. Lineage: Eukaryota; Metazoa; Chordata; Lepidosauria; Squamata; Phrynosomatidae.